GACGAACGCUGGCGGCGUGCUUAACACAUGCAAGUCGAACGGAAAGGCCCUGCUUUUGUGGGGUGCUCGAGUGGCGAACGGGUGAGUAACACGUGAGUAACCUGCCCUUGACUUUGGGAUAACUUCAGGAAACUGGGGCUAAUACCGGAUAGGAGCUCCUGCUGCAUGGUGGGGGUUGGAAAGUUUCGGCGGUUGGGGAUGGAUUCGCGGCUUAUCAGCUUGUUGGUGGGGUAGUGGCUUACCAAGGGUUUGACGGGUAGCCGGCCUGAGAGGGUGACCGGCGACAUUGGGACUGAGAUACGGACCAGACUCCUACGGGAGGCAGCAGUGGGGAAUAUUGCACAAUGGGCGGAAGCCUGAUGCAGCAACGCCGCGUGCGGGAUGACGGCCUUCGGGUUGUAAACCGCUUUCGCCUGUGACGAAGCGUGAGUGACGGUAAUGGGUAAAGAAGCAACGGCUAACUACGUG
Molecule: ribosomal RNA, 468 nt
Filed under: uncultured bacterium
Lineage: Bacteria
Description: partial 16S ribosomal RNA
Rfam family: Bacterial small subunit ribosomal RNA
Source: RNAcentral